This 758-nucleotide ribosomal RNA is filed under the name uncultured bacterium. RNAcentral describes it as "bacterial SSU rRNA". It matches the Rfam family "Bacterial small subunit ribosomal RNA", at positions 28 to 776 of the family's 1533-position model. The record is from RNAcentral.
GAUGAACGCUAGCUACAGGCUUAACACAUGCAAGUCGAGGGGCAUCAGGAAGAAAGCUUGCUUUCUUUGCUGGCGACCGGCGCACGGGUGAGUAACGCGUAUCCAACCUGCCCUUUACUCGGGGAUAGCCUUUCGAAAGAAAGAUUAAUACCCGAUGGGAUAAUUAUUCCGCAUGGUUUGAUUAUUAAAGGAUUCCGGUAAAGGAUGGGGAUGCGUUCCAUUAGGUUGUUGGUGAGGUAACGGCUCACCAAGCCUUCGAUGGAUAGGGGUUCUGAGAGGAAGGUCCCCCACAUUGGAACUGAGACACGGUCCAAACUCCUACGGGAGGCAGCAGUGAGGAAUAUUGGUCAAUGGGCGUUAGCCUGAACCAGCCAAGUAGCGUGAAGGAUGAAGGCUCUAUGGGUCGUAAACUUCUUUUAUAUAAGAAUAAAGUGCAGUAUGUAUACUGUUUUGUAUGUAUUAUAUGAAUAAGGAUCGGCUAACUCCGUGCCAGCAGCCGCGGUAAUACGGAGGAUCCGAGCGUUAUCCGGAUUUAUUGGGUUUAAAGGGAGCGUAGGUGGACUGGUAAGUCAGUUGUGAAAGUUUGCGGCUCAACCGUAAAAUUGCAGUUGAUACUGUCAGUCUUGAGUACAGUAGAGGUGGGCGGAAUUCGUGGUGUAGCGGUGAAAUGCUUAGAUAUCACGAAGAACUCCGAUUGCGAAGGCAGCUCACUGGACUGNCACUGACACUGAUGCUCGAAAGUGUGGGUAUCAAACAGG